UACGGAGGAUGCAAGCGUUAUCCGGAUUCAUUGGGUUUAAAGGGUGCGCAGGCGGAGUGAUAAGUCAGUGGUGAAAUCCUACGGCUCAACUGUAGAACUGCCAUUGAUACUGUCAUUCUUGAGUACUGUUGAGGUGGGCGGAAUGUGUCAUGUAGCGGUGAAAUGCUUAGAUAUGACACAGAACACCGAUCGCGAAGGCAGCUCACCAAGCAGAAACUGACGCUCAUGCACGAAAGCGUGGGGAUCAAACAGG
This 253-nucleotide ribosomal RNA is filed under the name uncultured bacterium. Its description in RNAcentral is "partial 16S ribosomal RNA". It matches the Rfam family "Bacterial small subunit ribosomal RNA", at positions 524 to 776 of the family's 1533-position model. The record is from RNAcentral.